GCUUUACACCACCAAAAAUACACCCCCCACUGUGGAUGCUCUAAUGCUGCUAGAAUAUAUUAUCUGUUCAAACUCCUGAUGCAAAAUUUACCUACCUAUAGGUCCACUUGUUAAAUUCUUGGCCUUGAAUCAGUAGCGUGAUAUGAAAAAAUUAUAUGCUUACCAUUAUGAAUUUCUUUUAGACACAAUUUUUUAUAUGAGUUUGCUUCUUACACAGAUUUAAAGGGCGUGGACCUGCAAACUGGUAAAUUUACCUUCAGGCAACUUAAAGAUGCCACAAACAACUUUGACAAAGCCAAUAAGAUUGGAGAAGGUGGUUUUGGUUCUGUUUACAAGGGCCUUCUAUCAGAUGGCACCGUAAUUGCUGUCAAGCA
This is a non-coding RNA of Prunus avium (sweet cherry), 374 nucleotides long. The record is from RefSeq and is a predicted model, not a curated record. Lineage: Eukaryota; Viridiplantae; Streptophyta; Magnoliopsida; Rosales; Rosaceae.